This 254-nucleotide ribosomal RNA is filed under the name uncultured bacterium. RNAcentral describes it as "partial 16S ribosomal RNA". It matches the Rfam family "Bacterial small subunit ribosomal RNA", at positions 524 to 775 of the family's 1533-position model. The record is from RNAcentral.
UACGAAGGGGGCUAGCGUUGCUCGGAAUCACUGGGCGUAAAGGGUGCGUAGGCGGGUUUUUAAGUCAGGGGUGAAAUCCUGGAGCUCAACUCCAGAACUGCCUUUGAUACUGAAGAUCUUGAGUCCGGGAGAGGUGAGUGGAACUGCGAGUGUAGAGGUGAAAUUCGUAGAUAUUCGCAAGAACACCAGUGGCGAAGGCGGCUCACUGGCCCGGUACUGACGCUGAGGCACGGAAAGCGAUGGGGAGCAAACAG